AAGUCGUAACAAGGUUUCCGUAGGUGAACCUGCGGAAGGAUCAUUACCGAGUAACUGUACUUUUAGUGCAGACUCCCACCCAUUGUUUACCGACCAGUUGCUUUGGCGGGACGUCGGACUGUUGUAUGAUGGUCUAACGCGCAAGCUUUCACACGUACUUGAACUAUGUAGAGAUGCACGGGUCCUGUGUAUGUGUGAGCUGGCCUGCCCGCCGAGGGUUCAAACUCUGAUUACUUUUGUCGUCUGAGAAAAAAACAAAUCAAUCAAAACUUUCAACAACGGAUCUCUUGGUUCUGGCAUCGAUGAAGAACGCAGCGAAAUGCGAUAAGUAAUGUGAAUUGCAGAAUUCAGUGAAUCAUCGAAUCUUUGAACGCAUAUUGCGCCCUCCGGUACUCUGGGGGGCAUACCUGUUCGAGCGCCGUUAUACUACUAAGGCUCAGCCUUGCGGUGGCCGCCUCCCUGUUUGCGAUUUAUUUUGCGAUGGCAGGGACGGCCGAAACCUAUGGGCGUUUCCGUUAUGAGUGUCCAGCGUAGCAAGUCUCUCGCUGUUAUUCUCCAACGACAACGCCAGUCUAACGAACUUUUGGCCUCGAAUCAGGUAGGGAUACCCGCUGAACUUAAGCAUAUCAAUAAGCGGAGGAAAAGAAACCAACAGGGAUUGCCUCAGUAACGGCGAGUGAAGCGGCAUCAGCUCAGAUUUGAAAUCUGGUCCUUUGGGCCCGAGUUGUAAUCUGCAGAGGAACGUUCGGUCUCGGCGCCGGUCCAAGUCUCUUGGAACGGAGCGUCGUGGAGGGUGAGAACCCCGUACCCGGCCGGUGGCCGUGACCGUGUGAACGUCCUUCGACGAGUCGAGUUGUUUGGGAAUGCAGCUCAAAUCGGGUGGUAAAUUCCAUCUAAAGCUAAAUAUUGGCCAGAGACCGAUAGCGCACAAGUAGAGUGAUCGAAAGAUGAAAAGCACUUUGGAAAGAGAGUUAAACAGUACGUGAAAUUGUUGAAAGGGAAGCGCUUGCAACCAGACUUGGCCGCGGAGGUUCCCCUCGUCUUCUGGCGGGGUCACUCCUUCGUGGACAGGCCAGCAUCGGUUCUGGCGGUUGGAGAAAGGCUUUGGGAACGUGGCUCUCCUUCGGGGGAGCGUUAUAGCCCUUUGCACAAUACUGCCAGCCGGGACCGAGGACCGCGCACUCGCUAGGAUGCUGGCGUAAUGGUUGUCAGCGGCC
This 1217-nucleotide ribosomal RNA is filed under the name uncultured fungus. RNAcentral's name for it is "eukaryotic LSU rRNA". The stretch from base 585 to 1217 matches the Rfam family "Eukaryotic large subunit ribosomal RNA", at positions 1 to 649 of the family's 3401-position model. Lineage: Eukaryota; Fungi. The record is from RNAcentral.